AGAGUUUGAUCCUGGCUCAGAACAAACGCUGGCGGCGUGCCUAACACAUGCAAGUCGUACGUGAAAGUUCCGCAAGGAACGAGUAAAGUGGCGAACGGGUGAGUAAUACAUAGGUAAUCUACUUAUAAGUUCGGGAUAACAGUUCGAAAGGAUUGCUAAUACCGGAUAAUGUGCUUAGUCAAAAGAUUAAGUACCAAAGGUGGCCUCUUCACAACGCUAUCGAUUAUAAAUGAGCCUAUGGACCAUUAGUUAGUUGGCAGGGUAAUAGCCUACCAAGACAAAGAUGGUUAGCUGGUCUGAGAGGAUGACCAGCCACACUGAACUGAAACACGUC
Molecule: ribosomal RNA, 334 nt
Filed under: uncultured bacterium
Lineage: Bacteria
Description: bacterial SSU rRNA
Rfam family: Bacterial small subunit ribosomal RNA
Source: RNAcentral